ACUGCAUGUCUAGUACUUUGGGGAUGCCCAUUCUCUCCAAGGCUCUCAUAGCCUAACUGCAGAGAAAAGGCUUACAUGUAUGAAAUAUUAAGAUUGUAGAAACCAGCACCUGUGGGACCUCUGAGAGGGUCUGGAAUUAGGGUUCAGAUACCAUCCAUCUGUUAUGUGCUUUGAAGAUGCCACUCCAUCUGUGGGAUUCAAUUUACAUAAACUGAAGACUAUUCUUCUGAGUUGAAGUGAGGAGAGGCAUCUAUCCUCUCCUCCUGCAAAAUUAUUUGAUCUCCUGGAAGCAAAAAGCCCACUAUGAAGUUGUUCUUGCCAUGGACUUCUGGAGGAGCUGACUGUCCUUUGGGAAGCUACAAAUACAGCCUUAAAAUCUGUUAGCAGGGAAGAAAGAGAGGCUUUUUCUGAGUGAUCAGGAAAGAAGAAGCAGAGAGCAUGCAGUGGUUCCAGGAAAAGUAG
Mandrillus leucophaeus (drill) is the source of this 462-nucleotide long non-coding RNA. RefSeq lists it as uncharacterized. The transcript is spliced from 5 exons. The record is from RefSeq and is a predicted model, not a curated record. NCBI's taxonomy places the organism in Eukaryota, Metazoa, Chordata, Mammalia, Primates, Cercopithecidae.